GACGAACGCUGGCGGCGUGCUUAACACAUGCAAGUCGUACGGUAAGGCCCUUUCGGGGGUACACGAGUGGCGAACGGGUGAGUAACACGUGAGUAACCUGCCCACAACUUUGGGAUAACGCUAGGAAACUGGUGCUAAUACAGGAAAUGUGUUCCUGCUGCAUGGUGGGGGUUGGAAAGCUCCGGCGGCUGUGGAUGGACCCUCAGCCUAUCAGCCUGUUGGUGGGGAUGGGGCCUACCAAGGCGGCGACGGGUAGCCGGCCUGAGAGGGUGACCGGCCACAUUGAGAAUGAGAGACGGCUAAGACUCGUACGGGGGGCAGGAGUGGGCAGAAUCGCACAAUGGGCGGAAACCAGAUGCAGAGACGCCGCGUGCGGGAUGACGGCCUUCGGGUUGUCAACCGCUGUCAGCAGUGACGAAGCUUUUUGUGACGGUACCUGCAGAAGAAGCACCGGCUAAUUUCGUG
This 465-nucleotide ribosomal RNA is filed under the name uncultured bacterium. Its description in RNAcentral is "partial 16S ribosomal RNA". It matches the Rfam family "Bacterial small subunit ribosomal RNA", at positions 28 to 507 of the family's 1533-position model. The record is from RNAcentral.